This 253-nucleotide ribosomal RNA is filed under the name uncultured bacterium. Its description in RNAcentral is "partial 16S ribosomal RNA". It matches the Rfam family "Bacterial small subunit ribosomal RNA", at positions 524 to 776 of the family's 1533-position model. The record is from RNAcentral.
UACGAACCGUACAAACGUUAUUCGGAAUCACUGGGCUUAAAGGGUGCGUAGGCGGCCAUGUAAGUGGGGUGUGAAAUCCCUCGGCUCAACCGAGGAACUGCGCUCCAUACUGCAUGGCUUGAGGGAGACAGGGGUAAGCGGAACUGAUGGUGGAGCGGUGAAAUGCGUUGAUAUCAUCAGGAAUACCGGAGGCGAAGGCGGCUCACUGGGUCUCUUCUGACGCUGAGGAACGAAAGCUAGGGGAGCAAACGGG